GCCUCCAUAGCUCAGCGGUUAGAGCACUGGUCUUGUAAACCAGGGGUCGGGAGUUCCAUUCUCCCUGGGGGCU
This 73-nucleotide transfer RNA is filed under the name Schistocerca americana (American grasshopper). RNAcentral describes it as "tRNA-Thr". It matches the Rfam family "tRNA". From Rfam's summary of the family: Transfer RNA (tRNA) molecules are approximately 80 nucleotides in length. Their secondary structure includes four short double-helical elements and three loops (D, anti-codon, and T loops). The record is from RNAcentral. Lineage: Eukaryota; Metazoa; Arthropoda; Insecta; Orthoptera; Acrididae.